RNAcentral lists this ribosomal RNA (478 nucleotides) under uncultured bacterium. RNAcentral describes it as "partial 16S ribosomal RNA". It matches the Rfam family "Bacterial small subunit ribosomal RNA", at positions 28 to 507 of the family's 1533-position model. The record is from RNAcentral.
GACGAACGCUGGCGGCGUGCUUAACACAUGCGAGUCGAACGGGAUUUAGUAGACAGAAGCUUCGGUGGAAGAUUACUAAUGAGAGUGGCGAACGGGUGAGUAACGCGUGAGCAACCUGCCUAUGACAGUGGGAUAGCCUCGGGAAACCGGGAUUAAUACCGCAUAAAAUCGUAGAAACACAUGUUUCAACGGUCAAAGAUUUAUCGGUCGUAGAUGGGCUCGCGUCUGAUUAGCUAGUUGGUGAGAUAACAGCCCACCAAGGCGACGAUCAGUAGCCGGUCUGAGAGGAUGAACGGCCACAUUGGAACUGAGACACGGUCCAAACUCCUACGGGAGGCAGCAGUGGGGAAUAUUGCACAAUGGGGGAAACCCUGAUGCAGCGACGCCGCGUGAACGAAGAAGGUAUUCGUAUCGUAAAGUUCUGUCCUAUGGGAAGAUAAUGACAGUACCAUAGAAGAAAGCUCCGGCUAAAUACGUG